UUUUAAGUAAAAUCUGCUCCAUGAUAAAUUAAAUAGCCGCAGGAAUUAACUGUGCUAAGGUAGCAUAAUCAUUAGUUUCUUAAUUUUUAACUAGAAUGAACGAUUUAACAUUUCAAUUACUUUCUUUUUAUCCUAUUAAAAAUUUUAUUAAAUAUAAAAAUAUAUUUAUUCUAAAACAAGACGACAAGACCCUUUCGAACUUAACUUUAGUUUGGCUGGGGCAGCUAUUUAAACACUAUUUUAAAUUAAAAUUUUACUCCAACACCCAAUAAAAUUGAUUUAAAUCAAGUUACCGAAGGGAUAACAGCGCAAUAUUAUUUUUAAGUUAUAUUUAAAAUAACGUUUACGACCUCGAUGUUGAAUUAUUUUCCUAAUAUAAUGCAAUAAUUUAAUUUAGGAGGUCUGUUCGACCAUUAAAUUUUUACA
This 426-nucleotide ribosomal RNA is filed under the name Mimetus sp. GH1083. RNAcentral describes it as "partial 16S ribosomal RNA". Lineage: Eukaryota; Metazoa; Arthropoda; Arachnida; Araneae; Mimetidae. The record is from RNAcentral.